CAGUCUGCCCUUAGGCAAUUUAGGCGGCCACGAGGCCCCUGACUGCGCGAGGCCUUAGGCGGCCGCCUAAAUCGCCUAAUUAGAGAGCCGCCUCUGGCGGCGACUUUGCAUGCGGAUGCCAUCCAUGUCAACUUUAGAUGCCAGUUUCUGCGCCUACCAUGGUGACCACUGGUAACGGGGAAUCAGGAUUCCAUUCAGUACAGGGACCCUGAGAAACGGCUACCACAUGCAAGGAAGGCAGCAGGCGCGCAAAUGACCCACUCCCGACGCGGGAAGGUAGUGA
Molecule: non-coding RNA, 283 nt
Organism: Pelobates cultripes (western spadefoot toad)
Lineage: Eukaryota; Metazoa; Chordata; Amphibia; Anura; Pelobatidae
Source: the annotation of a GenBank genome assembly